RNAcentral lists this ribosomal RNA (539 nucleotides) under uncultured archaeon. RNAcentral describes it as "bacterial SSU rRNA". It matches the Rfam family "Archaeal small subunit ribosomal RNA", at positions 326 to 867 of the family's 1478-position model. The record is from RNAcentral.
CGGGGUGCAGCAGGCGCGAAAACUUUGCAAUAAGCGAAAGCUUGACAGGGCUAUCCCGAGUGCCAUCCGCUGAGGAAGGCUUUUACCCAGUCUAGAACGCUGGGGGAAUAAGGAGAGGGCAAGUCUGGUGUCAGCCGCCGCGGUAAUACCAGCUCUCCGAGUGGUGUGGAUGUUUAUUGGGCCUAAAGCAUCCGUAGCUGGCUAAGUUAGUCCCUUGUUAAAUCCACCGAAUUAAUCGUUGGAUUGCGGGGGAUACUGCUUGGCUAGGGGACGAGAGAGGCAGACGGUAUUUCCGGGGUAGGGGUGAAAUCCUAUAAUCCCGGGAAGACCACCAGUGGCGAAGGCUGUCUGCUAGAACGCGCCCGACGGUGAGGGAUGAAAGCUGGGGGGGCGAACCGGAUUAGAUACCCGGGUAGUCCCAGCUGUAAACGAUGCAGGCUAGGUGUUUGGACGGCCACGUGCCGUUCUAGUGCCGCAGGGAAGCUGUUAAGCCUGCCGCCUGGGGAGUACGAUCGCAAGAUUGAAACUUAAAGGAAUUG